AUUCAGCUGACGAGUUCCAAAUAAGACGAAACGUGCAUCCUGGAU
This 45-nucleotide non-coding RNA is filed under the name Schistosoma margrebowiei. Lineage: Eukaryota; Metazoa; Platyhelminthes; Trematoda; Strigeidida; Schistosomatidae. The record is from RNAcentral.